UUAUUGAUAAAGGUUUAACUAUCGUGU
This 27-nucleotide non-coding RNA is filed under the name Homo sapiens (human). Lineage: Eukaryota; Metazoa; Chordata; Mammalia; Primates; Hominidae. The record is from RNAcentral.